UGCCCCUCACUUGCCAAUACGUCUAGAUCAGCCAGGGCGUCGGCAUGUGUAGCGUAUUAUGUUGGGCUCUCUCGAGAUAAGGAUACGAUGUCCCUUUAUCGGUUGGUUUCCUGUGUGCGCGGCCCGUUCGUUUUUUUUGUUACUUUCGCAUCGUUCGGUGCAUUCUGGGGGCUGUGUUGGCUUUUGGUGGCUUGCUUGGCCUUUUGGCUUUGCUUGUUGCUACUUGUCGGGCUGCUUUCGGGAAUGUCGACCGUGGAGGUGCAUGAGUGGUGUUUGGUUUGUUACGUGUGGAUGGCUGUUUGCUUGUGCAACAACGUUCACGCUGCAUACCUCUUCAGUUUUGCGGCAAGGCUUGGUUUGGCUUGUGCAUAUUGUGGGUUUCCUGUGUUGCAUACCUAGUUGAUGGAAAAGUGUGGGUUUUACGAUUUUCAUUUUCGUCUUGCGUCGUUCUUUUGGCGUGGGAUGAACAAUGAAGCGAUCUUUAUGAUCCAUCGUGCUGUUGCGUUUGCAACAAUGAUGUGGCCUAUGAAGCAUCGUUUGGUCUCUUGUAUACGGAAGCUCAUUUGGGCUUGGGUCUUUAUAAGAUCUUCGUUACGCCCUUGUUAAGCGUUCUCGCUUCUCCUAAACGAUUG
RNAcentral lists this unclassified non-coding RNA (632 nucleotides) under Centaurea borjae. RNAcentral describes it as "partial external transcribed spacer". RNAcentral also lists the same sequence under 1 other name. Lineage: Eukaryota; Viridiplantae; Streptophyta; Magnoliopsida; Asterales; Asteraceae. The record is from RNAcentral.